Molecule: transfer RNA, 53 nt
Filed under: Lithobius maqinensis
Lineage: Eukaryota; Metazoa; Arthropoda; Chilopoda; Lithobiomorpha; Lithobiidae
Description: transfer RNA-Trp
Source: RNAcentral
AAGCCUUAAGUUAAAAAAACUAUUAACCUUCAAAGUUAAAAAUAAAAAUUUUA